UACGGAGGAUCCAAGCGUUAUCCGGAUUCAUUGGGUUUAAAGGGUGCGUAGGUGGAAUAGUAAGUCAGUGGUGAAAGCCUGUUGCUUAACAACAGAACUGCCAUUGAUACUGCUAAUCUUGAGUACAUCUGAAGUGGGCGGAAUGUGUCAUGUAGCGAUGAAAUGCUUAGAUAUGACACAGAACACCGAUUGCGAAGGCAGCUCACUAAACUGUAACUGACACUGAGGCACGAAAGCGUGGGGAUCAAACAGG
RNAcentral lists this ribosomal RNA (253 nucleotides) under uncultured bacterium. RNAcentral's name for it is "partial 16S ribosomal RNA". It matches the Rfam family "Bacterial small subunit ribosomal RNA", at positions 524 to 776 of the family's 1533-position model. The record is from RNAcentral.